RNAcentral lists this long non-coding RNA (268 nucleotides) under Nicotiana benthamiana. Its description in RNAcentral is "long non-coding RNA (NBEN_LNC036795)". The record is from RNAcentral. Lineage: Eukaryota; Viridiplantae; Streptophyta; Magnoliopsida; Solanales; Solanaceae.
CCACUUCGGUGCCAAUGUGAAGUUUGUUCAUUUUCUCCCUUUUAACGUAGAUAAAGAAACUUGUAAAUUCAAGGUUCAAAAGGGUAUGAAGAGUAAUAGCAUACAUACAUCGAUGGCAAGUAACUUAUUAUAUGAAAUUAAAUGGUAAGUAACUUUUUAUAUUAUAUUAAAUUAAAUUACAUCGACAGUGUAAAAACUUUUAUAUUAUCAACUUAUAAAAGUUAAAUCCAUUCUAAGACGGUAAAAAACUUUUGAAUUAAACUACUUA